This 393-nucleotide ribosomal RNA is filed under the name Pinelema renalis. Its description in RNAcentral is "partial 16S ribosomal RNA". Lineage: Eukaryota; Metazoa; Arthropoda; Arachnida; Araneae; Telemidae. The record is from RNAcentral.
UAGCCGCAAUAUCUGUGCUAAGGUAGCAUAAUCAUUAGUUCACUAAUUAUGAAAUAGAAUGAAUGAUUUCACAAAUAAAUUAUUUUCUUUAUUAUUAUUAAUCUAAAUUCAUCUAAAAGUUAAAAAGCUUUUUAAUCAAGAAAGACAACAAGACCCUAACGAACUUCACUUACAGUUUUACUGGGGCGGUUUUUAAUUAUACCUUACUUCUUUAUUACUUAUAACCUUACUAUAAGAUUCCCCAAGUUACCGUAGGGAUAACAGCACAAUAGUUUUUUAAAGCUCUUAUAUCAAAAAUUUUUGUGACCUCGAUGUUGAAUUAAGUACCUAAUUUAAGCAAGAUUAAAUACAUCUUUUAAGGAAGUCUGUUCGACUUUUAAAUUCUUACAUGAU